GUUAUGUAUUAAACUGUCAGAUAGACUAGAACAUGCUAAAACACUUUUGGAAAGGCUUCAGGGAAGAGGAAGAAGUCGAACAUAUGGGAGAAAGGAACAAUCAGUAAUGUCAUGUUCCUGAGAAGAUGGAAAGGAAGAUUUGAUUGGUUUAUGGUUGAACGAGGGACACAGCUUCCAAAACAGGGAAGGGAAGGCAGGGAUGUCUAAAUGUAGGCCCUCCUCACAGUGGGAAGACUGCUUUAGCUGCAAAAAUUGCAGAGGAAUCCAACUUCCCGUUCAUCAAGAUCUGUUCUCCUGAUAAAAUGAUUGGCUUUUCUGAAACAGCCAAAUGUCAGGCCAUGAAGAAGAUCUUUGAUGAUGCGUACAAAUCCCAGCUCAGUUGUGUGGUUGUGGAUGACAUUGAGAGAUUGCUUGAUUACGUCCCUAUUGGCCCUCGAUUUUCAAAUCUUGUAUUACAGGCUCUUCUCGUUUUACUGAAAAAGGCACCUCCUCAGGGCCGCAAGCUUCUUAUCAUUGGGACCACUAGCCGCAAAGAUGUCCUUCAGGAGAUGGAAAUGCUUAACGCUUUCAGCACCACCAUCCACGUGCCCAACAUUGCCACAGGAGAGCAGCUGUUGGAAGCUUUGGAGCUUUUGGGCAACUUCAAGGAUAAGGAACGCACCACAAUUGCACAGCAAGUCAAAGGGAAGAAGGUCUGGAUAGGAAUCAAG
RNAcentral lists this unclassified non-coding RNA (710 nucleotides) under Homo sapiens (human). Its description in RNAcentral is "N-ethylmaleimide sensitive factor, vesicle fusing ATPase (ENSG00000276262.2)". Lineage: Eukaryota; Metazoa; Chordata; Mammalia; Primates; Hominidae. The record is from RNAcentral.